This is a long non-coding RNA of Cygnus atratus (black swan), 1642 nucleotides long. RefSeq lists it as uncharacterized. The record is from RefSeq and is a predicted model, not a curated record. The transcript has 2 exons. Lineage: Eukaryota; Metazoa; Chordata; Aves; Anseriformes; Anatidae.
AGAAAAUGUUCUUUUCAUAAAAACAGUCCAAUUCUUCUGUAAAUAUCUGCUGUCAUAUUUAUCCUUUUGGAAUUAAAUUUUUUUUUUUUUUUUACUUAUUAUUAUUAAACUUGCUACCAGAGGAAGCAAUAGUUGCAAGAACUGUUUAAAUAGGUACCAUUUGUAAAUAUAAACAGUUUCAGAUUUUUAUUUUUUUUUGCCUGAAAGCUUAAGUGGUUUCAUAAUUUCUGGUAUUGUUUUGCGAGUGUCGUUAUACAGAAAUAGACUAAUGCAUGCUGAACCUACAUGUAAGCAGUGGAGAAGGGGGAGGAGUGGAGUUGUUUUUAAAAAGACCUGGAGAUCCAAAUGGGAGGCUGUGAACACAAAUGAAUUACACGUAUGUGAGCUGCAAAAGGGAGUCUUUCUCCACAUUUGGAAAGGAUAAGAAAUAUCAGGCUGUGUUGUGAUCUCACCAUUCAGAGCUGUAAAUCCAGGAAGAAAAAACCAUCAGCAGACCAUAGUUUGAAUCAGGAUAUGAGCCUUCAGUGAAUAUGACAAGGGAACAUAAAGAUAAAUCACUUAAGGAUAAAUCACUCACAAAGGAAAAAAAAAAGUGAAGAAAGAAUCAGAAACAAAGGGCAAAUGAGAGAAAACUCGUUUGCUAAGUGAUGGACUGGGCUCUACCCUCGUGCAUACCAUCCUGCUCCUUACCACUUCAUUCAGAGCAAGCCUCUGCGCUGCAUCCCUCCCCUGCUACUGCAGCCACAGCCCUCUCUCCCUCUUGACUUGAAGCAAAGGAGAGACAGUUGAAAUAACCUGUGUCUCCAAAGACGGGUGGACACAGCAGCAGCAGGCCCAGCCUGCUGUUCACCCGGGCACCCAGAGAGAUCUGGUUUUCCAGAGAAAGGUUUUUUUGAAUGGCUCACACAUCCCAGAGCGAUAGCAUCUAAAUUAUCCCUUCAAACUACAUGGAAGAAAUAAGCAGAAACAAGAAGACCCUGCUGAGGUCCCAACAAAUUUGUGAAGCUUUCCUCCAAUACUGUUUUGGGGUAUCUCUGCUCUCAGCAAAUGUCCCAGCAACCCGGUGUGAACAUGCAGGUAAGUAACACCCUGCUUUUCACUUUUUUUCUCAGGCAAAUUGUCAAGAGGCACCCAUCAUAGCCACUGUUUUGGAAAAGUGUCUGUGAUGGUGUAACCAUGUCACAAGACUGGUCUCCAGGGAAUUUCCAGCUUGUCUGAAAGAUAUUUCUUUGUGUGGGCUUCGCUGUCUUGCCUGGCAUCAUCUUCCCCCUCCAUCAAGUCCUUAAAUGACGAUUGCUGUUUGAAGAAUGACUUCAGCCUCAUGGGAUCAGAUGCUGUGGGUAGUCACACAAUACGAUGCAAAGUCUCUGAGGUAAAUGAUAGCACAGCGAGCAGGGAAAUGGGAAAUCAGACCCAUGUGGCUUUCAUGAUUUUUUUUGGUUUUGCUGCCUUGUAAAAAAAAAAAAAAAAAAAAAGGCGCUCCCAGAAUUCACAAAGGGAACUGAAAUGGUAUCGUACUGCUCUUCAUUCAUGAGCCCAGAUUUCACAUAACAUUGAUUUACUCCACACUUUUUUUUUUUUUUUUUUUUUUUGGUGGCACACAGAAUAGUAACUACCAAUAAAACUCCUGAGUUCACUGUUU